RNAcentral lists this ribosomal RNA (629 nucleotides) under uncultured Bacteroidota bacterium. RNAcentral describes it as "bacterial SSU rRNA". It matches the Rfam family "Bacterial small subunit ribosomal RNA", at positions 35 to 653 of the family's 1533-position model. The record is from RNAcentral. Lineage: Bacteria; Pseudomonadati; Bacteroidota.
GCUAGCGGGCAGGCUUAAUACAUGCAAGUCGAGGGGCAGCAUGGACGAACCUAGUUUGUCUGAUGGCGACCGGCGCACGGGUGAGUAACGCGUACGCAACCUACCCUUGAGAGGGGCAUAGCCCCGGGAAACUGGGAGUAAUACCCCAUAGUAUCCAUAGAUCGCAUGAGAAAUGGAUUAAAACUGAGGUGCUCAAGGAUGGGCGUGCGUGCUAUUAGGUAGUUGGUGAGGUAACGGCUCACCAAGCCAACGAUAGCUAGGGGGCGUGAGAGCGUGGUCCCCCACACGGGUACUGAGACACGGACCCGACUCCUACGGGAGGCAGCAGUAAGGAAUAUUGGACAAUGGGCGAGAGCCUGAUCCAGCCAUCCCGCGUGCAGGAAGACGGCCCUCUGGGUUGUAAACUGCUUUUAUAUGGGAAGAAUAAGCUUCAUUUAUGAGGCUAUGACGGUACCAUACGAAUAAGCACCGGCUAACUCCGUGCCAGCAGCCGCGGUAAUACGGAGGGUGCAAGCGUUAUCCGGAAUCACUGGGUUUAAAGGGUGCGUAGGCGGCCCGAUUAGUCAGAGGUGAAAGCCUAUAGCUCAACUAUAGAAUUGCCUUUGAUACUGUCGGGCUUGAAUUAGGAC